Molecule: ribosomal RNA, 417 nt
Filed under: Agrobacterium tumefaciens
Lineage: Bacteria; Pseudomonadati; Pseudomonadota; Alphaproteobacteria; Hyphomicrobiales; Rhizobiaceae
Description: bacterial SSU rRNA
Rfam family: Bacterial small subunit ribosomal RNA
Source: RNAcentral
GUCGAACGCCCCGCAAGGGGAGUGGCAGACGGGUGAGUAACGCGUGGGAACAUACCCUUUCCUGCGGAAUAGCUCCGGGAAACUGGAAUUAAUACCGCAUACGCCCUACGGGGGAAAGAUUUAUCGGGGAAGGAUUGGCCCGCGUUGGAUUAGCUAGUUGGUGGGGUAAAGGCCUACCAAGGCGACGAUCCAUAGCUGGUCUGAGAGGAUGAUCAGCCACAUUGGGACUGAGACACGGCCCAAACUCCUACGGGAGGCAGCAGUGGGGAAUAUUGGACAAUGGGCGCAAGCCUGAUCCAGCCAUGCCGCGUGAGUGAUGAAGGCCUUAGGGUUGUAAAGCUCUUUCACCGGAGAAGAUAAUGACGGUAUCCGGAGAAGAAGCCCCGGCUAACUUCGUGCCAGCAGCCGCGGUAAUAC